This 311-nucleotide ribosomal RNA is filed under the name uncultured eukaryote. Its description in RNAcentral is "partial large subunit ribosomal RNA". It matches the Rfam family "Eukaryotic large subunit ribosomal RNA", at positions 40 to 350 of the family's 3401-position model. The record is from RNAcentral.
AUAUUAAUAAGCGGAGGAAAAGAAACUAACAAGGAUUCCCCCAGUAACGGCGAGUGAAGCGGGACCAGCUCAAAUUUGAAAUCUCUGCUGAAGGGCAGCGAAUUGUAGUCUAAAGAGGGAGAGGCAGGAUGGGCGGGUGGACCAAGUCCCCUGGAAUGGGGCGCCAAAGAGGGUGAGAGCCCCGUGACGUCCACCGCGUGUCCGUAGUCUGAUCCUCUCGACGAGUCGAGUUGUUUGGGAAUGCAGCUCAAAGCGGGUGGUAAAUCUCAUCCAAGGCUAAAUACUGGCAAGAGACCGAUAGCGCACAAGUA